Molecule: non-coding RNA, 5715 nt
Organism: Taeniopygia guttata (zebra finch)
Lineage: Eukaryota; Metazoa; Chordata; Aves; Passeriformes; Estrildidae
Source: RefSeq, a predicted model, not a curated record
UGACAACAGUUGCUCAGUGCUCAGUGCCCAGUAUCUGCCUCCUUACCAUGCCACUAUAAUAGUUGGGAACCCGUCAACAAUUGAGCAUCUUCUAUACAAAUAUGUUGCAGACCAUCUGUAUAGUUUUCAGUUCCAGAAGAUUCCAGUAACUCACUAAGUUUUAAUACUUUUUUUUUCUUCUUGUUACUCUGAUGGACUGCCCUGAGAUAAGUGAUAAAAGCAAAAGUCUGACAUAAUUUCUUCGGAGCUAAAACUGCACAGAAGUUGCCAAUUCCUGUAUUUGUUUUCUUACAAGAAACUUGAAGCAGGCAUUUUCCACUCUUAACAAUUUUAAGGUGCUAUCAAGUCAUCUUUAUUUUUUGGGUCAGAAAAACAUUUUGGUGAAAACGAUUGCUAACAUAAUCUUAGAAAAUAUUUGAACAGGCAAUUCUGAAGUUUUUCCAGAGACUUGGUGUUAUAGAGACCAGUAGAGUGAAAGGAUCCCAUCAUCAAAAUACAUGCAAAGAAAGGAAGAAUGAAGGAAUUCAUAACACCAUGUACAAUGAAUGUGCCUCAGUGCUCCUAAAGGAGGAAUCCCUUCCAGCAUCCAACAGCCAAUAUUAUGUGCCUCAGCCCAUUGAAAAUUUAGGCAAAAAUUAUCUUCUGAGUAAUAAAAUAGAAAGUAAAGCCUGUAUUCAAAAAGUAGAGGGGAUUGUAGAUGUUCUGAGGUUCUGGUUCCUGGCCUCAGUUUCCUGUUUUCAGUAGUACUGUAACAAAAAUUGCAAAGUUUUUUCCAAGAAAAAGAACCAGAAUCAAUCUACUACCACUAUUUGAGAGUGAUUUAUCACUUACUGAGGUAAUCCUGGGGUUUCGGAUCAGAAAUACAGAGAGAUGCAUGGUCAACUCAUGUCACUUCUGUCACCCUGCUGAAUGCCAUGUAACACUGCCAAUGCUUGGAAGCACUGACUGCUGGCAUCUGCAAGAUGGAAGGAAAGGAAGACCUGGACGCAUUGACUACAUCUAAACUGUUAAACAAAAUUAGUCAGAGAAUUUUCCUGGAGGCCAGCUGGCAUGAAAGAGCUUGAAUUCACACAGAUAAACUCUCUUGCCCUCCAAAUCAUGGUGGCCACAUCCAAAAUAUCUACUGGAGAUGGUGCCUGACUUGGGUCAAUACCCAAGCUGUGCUUUGGUAUUGACCAAAUUCCAUGUCUGGAAGAGCAUUAGCAGUCUUGAACCAAAACCAUGGCAGGGACCAGUUUAGUGGUAUGGAUGGUUUCGGGCCCAUGCCUUGCUGGUCUUGUUUAGUUUAUUUAAUGUCAGAGGGAAACCUCAGUAAUUCUGCCAGGAGUCAACAGGAAACGCCUUCUGGCCUCAUCAACCAGAAGCUGCUGAGAAGUAUAAUCAUUAGGUUGUUCACCUCCUUCACAUUUGGAUUCUUUUCCUUGUGUUAUUUUUUACCAAAUGAGCACUGAAAAUUUUUGAAAUCUCAUAGAGUAAUAAAAUUGGGUUGUUGCCUGCGCAAAACUUGUUGGUUUUGAACUACCAAGAGAUUUCUCACACAAGCUGAGCUUCUGUAAAAGCCAGCUUCAGCUCUCCUCCCUGAUGAAGGGUCUCCUAUGGCUUUGAGCAAGUUGCUAAGAGCUUGUGUGACCAGCCCCCUGUUUGGAUACAGGGGUAAAAAGCAAUGAGGUGUUGAGAUACAAACACACCAUUUGCUUGAGGUCACAUAAACAUGCUGAACUGAUGUGAACAUAAAAUUUCCCUUGAUUUCUGUGGCAACUUAUUUCAUAUGUCUGGGUGGGCAAUUUAUUUUAAACCCUGCAAAAAGGACAUGACUACGUUGUUAUAGCAGGAUCUUUUCAAGGUCAGAGCUCUGGGGUUGGCUUUGGGUAAGCCUGAUAUGUCCUUCAUACAGUGUGGGGUAGGGGAGAACUCCUGCUCUGUGUUUCUAGAGCUAACUUUGUGCAAUGGUACCCCUGAUUAUCCUAUGGAACACUCUACUUCACAGUUUUGUGUUAUACUUCUGCCUGCAGCAAUAUAAAUCAGAAUCAGGUAAUUAAUGCCUGAAUCUUUUUCUCUAUUCUGAAGAUAAAUGGCAGUGAAGGCCGAGUAGUUUUAAAAAGCUCAUAGUACAAAAUUAUCGUAUUAGACCAUGCUGUAUUACUGAGAUUACAGAAAAUUACCUACGUGUAUUGAAUUAAACCAUGAUUUUCCAAUGGUCUCAGCAGCAGAACUGGGACAAUUUCAUCAUUGCAUUAUCAGUUUGGUAGGUAAUUAGUAUCCUGAAUUGCUUCUCAGAAUGAAAAAAUGGUAUUGUUUUAUCCAGAAACUAGCCCUUUUUUAACUUGCAGCACUAGCCCUUACUUUUCUUAGACCUCAGGCAUGAAUUUCUGAGGCUGACAGGUACUGAUUUCAACAACACUUAGAGCAGUGCAUGUUUUGCCUCGGGUUUGCUGCAGGAUGGGUGUGCUCUUAAUUAAUGUGGUCAUUUGAUGUACAGCACCUUGCUGACUAUUAGAACUAGAUUGUGUGCUUUUACCCAGUGUUCCUUUUUGAGUAAAAAGUCUAUUUCAUAAUUUACUUAUUCAUGGGUCAGUCUCAUAAAGAAGUUUGUAGAGCCCUACUUGUGUAUAGUCAUACCUGGAACAGGCUGUGUAAAUCUUAUUUAAUGAAAAUGUUAUGAAGCAAAGAAUCGAGUUAUUGCCCAGAAUUAUAUACUCAGAAAUUGUCAAUUUUUCUCUGAGCUGGAUUUUGAAAAGCAGGAAGUAUGGUAAAGCAGAGGAGGAGCAUUUAACCUUAUCUAUUUUGCCUCCCUUUUCCUUCCCUUUUCUGUCUUGCCCCUCAAUCUUCAAGCCCUCUCCCAUGGAUGCUUGCAUAUGGUAGUGGCUCUACUCAGGCCUGCUGAGACCAGCGCAUCAGUUAAGGUUUGUAAGGCCACAAUGUGUUUAUUUUUGCAGCCUGAUCUUGUGAGAAACUGAGGAGGUCUUGCAUCUCCCUCCUACUGAUAACAGUGGUGUUGAAAGAGCUCUGUGCAUUCCAGGGCAAAGCCUUGGAGGUUAGAGAGCUUCUAACUCUCCUUUGGAAGUACAUGCAGAUUCCUUUGGCCUUCACUGGGGGAAAGCCUGGCUUCUCACUAAAGAAAAAGAAAAGAAAACAAAGAAAACCUAAGAUACAAACCCCCAACACAAUACUCAUGGUGGUCCAAAUAAAACAUAAAAACCCCAAUCUCAGCCCAAGCACUCAGUCUAGGGAGGCUUUGCAAUUAGGGGCUUGAAGCUCGACCCAGGGCUGAGUCAUGGUCUCUUUGUGGAAGAAAGGUACAGGCUCUGGCCAUGCUCAAGUGAGCUUUGGUGUGCAAGGAUGUAGCCCAGAGGCCUGGGCUGGUAGUCCCUGCCUGCUGGCUCAGUGCUCAUUCAUCCUGCACAGGCUCUGAGCUGCGCUCUGCAGCCAUCACCCCAGGCUUCAUCUCAGGCUCUUUUUGACCCUCUUUGGCUGUUUUAAAGCUGGAUCCUUUCAGCUUAUGUUCUCUCUCAAGCAAUUUGCUCUCCUCCCCCCCUGCCCCUUCUCUACUUCCACAACUGAACUCACUUUUCCAAACUCCCCAUUCCACCAUCUAUCCACUCCAUAUGUUUAUAUUUUCCUAUUGCUGAGGCAUGGCAUGCUGACCUGCCUGGACAGAGCUCCUUUAUCACAGAGAUAAACAUGAUGUCCCUCUCACAUAGAGUUUCUAUCAUGUGUGACCUUUCAUCUUGAACUGCCAUGACCUUUUUUUUUAUUAAUGCUGUACUGUGCUGCUUGCAGAAGCCAGGAAAGAAAAUCUUUUGUUUCUAGAUAGAAUACUGCUAAAGGACAUGAUACGGUCUUGUUUUUAAUCCAGCUAAUUAAAAUCUGCAUGUGCAGUGUAACUGAGAAUGCAGCCUUCGCCCACCACUUUCCCACAGGCAGGGAAUAAAGGCCUUUAGUGCAGCAGCAGCUAGCCACCCUUGGAUAACAGAGAACAGAGACCACAAUUCAUCCCAGCUUUCCUUAUCAUAUUCGCAGAGGGCUUUCCCCUCCCUCCCUCCCUCCUCUUUCUCUCCCCCUCUCUCUCCAUGGAAUCACUUACUGUAGCUAUGUGCCUCUAUAUAUCACUGCAGAAUGUAAUCAAGUUAAAAAUAUGUGAGCUUGCAUUUAUCUAUGCUCCAGUGAGCUUCAAAUAUAAUUCAUUUCUAGUGAAAAAAAAAAAAAAAAGAAAGAAAGAGGAGGGGUAGAAGGGGCGAAUGAGAAAGAGAAAGAAAAAAGAGAAAGAAAAAAGAAAGAAAAAGUGUCUAUUUCUAAGCAAGUGUCAACCCUACUUAUUUUAAAAGAGUUCUGCCAAGAACUAACUGAAUAUCACAGUUUAGCAGUUCACACUUUUGUAUGUUCAUUAUGUUGGCUUUUUUGGAUUUACUGGAUAGUUGUGGUUAUUACUAAAGCUGCCUUUUGUGUGUGUUUGUGUGUCAGAAAGAGCGUGCCAUGGAAUUUGUUUCUUAUGAAACAUUUUCUUGGUUAGUUUUUCACUUGUUGGUUUUUGUUGGGUAACUGAAGUCAGGAGGGAGGAGGAAAAGGAGGGCAGCCUGGUGGUAAGGAGCAGUGAGGGCAGAAUGGGAAGCAUUAAAAUUGAGCCCUCACCUGUUUUCUCUUUCUUCAAGUUAUAUUUUGGAUGAUGAUGAUGAUGAAGUCAUCAGGAUGCAUAAAAAUGUGCCAGGAGAUUCAAAACUUGGAAAGAGAUUUUGUGACAUGAGUAGAAAAUACAUUUCAGUGCAUGUGCAGAAGCCCUUCCCCCAGAGAGGCACACAAACAGGCUUUCUGUGGUCAUUCCCUGGUAACCCGCACAAAGAGCUGCUCAAACAGCUGUGCCUUUGGCUGAGCACCAUCCAUGGGGCUGCUGUGGAAAAUGCUGAUUUUGGGGCAUUAACUUCCCCAACACAAAUUCAGAGAAAUAUACUUACAAGUAUUAAUGGAAGGGAUUGUGAACCCUGAAUAAAUAUGCGCCGUGUUGGGAAAUUAUUCCCUUUAUUGAUCAUAACAAAAGAUUCAUGUGUUCGUUGUAAUGAUUAAAGAUAUAUGAAAAAGUGAUAAUUUGAAUUCCAAUACAACUUAUUAGGUGACAUCAGUCUAACUAAAGUACCUGAAAAAUACCAAAAUAUUUUAGAAACAGAGAACAGUAUUAUUAAAAUAUGACAGAAUAUCAUGCUGCCUAUAUAUUAAAAUAUGCCAUGUUGAUGAAGCAUGAGAGUGCUUUUCAUCAAAAUGUGGUUAUCUUAUGCUGAAAAUUUGGUUAUCUUAUGCUGAACUUAAGCAGGAAUAGAGAUCUGUACACUUUUCUACUUUUACUACCUAUAGAGGGACAAUAUUCAAUAAGAAAUAGCUAUUACUAUGCUUGUAUAGUUCUGAUAUAUUAUGUUUAUAUACCAUGGCAUAAGUUUUUAUGUAUUUUGGAAUUAGUGUCAAAUCAGUAGAACAGUGACAAGAAGACAUUUAUAUGUAUUUUACCAAGUUAAGGUUUUCUGUUUCUCAUCUUUUGAGGAAUAUAUUCAAUAAUUGCUUUUUAAUAGUAACACCUACUUUGACGCACUGAAAAGGUUGUUAAUGUCAAGUCACAUAUUUGAUAUAAAAUUAGUGUUUGCAUAUUGCAUAAGCAAUAUAAGAUUUAUGAAGCUUCAUGUAUUCCAUUUAAGUGGGCUAAUCCUAAUAAAUACGGUAUUUUUUAUUGUU